RNAcentral lists this ribosomal RNA (510 nucleotides) under uncultured bacterium. RNAcentral's name for it is "partial 16S ribosomal RNA". It matches the Rfam family "Bacterial small subunit ribosomal RNA", at positions 28 to 507 of the family's 1533-position model. The record is from RNAcentral.
GACGAACGCUGGCGGCGUGCUUAACACAUGCAAGUCGAACGAAGAGCGAUGGAAGCUUGCUUCUAUCAAUCUUAGUGGCGAACGGGUGAGUAACGCGUAAUCAACCUGCCCUUCAGAGGGGGACAACAGUUGGAAACGACUGCUAAUGCCGCAUACGAUCUGACCUCGGCAUCGAGGAUAGAUGAAAGGUGGCCUCUAUUUAUAAGCUAUCACUGAAGGAGGGGAUUGCGUCUGAUUAGCUAGUUGGAGGGGUAACGGCCCACCAAGGCGAUGAUCAGUAGCCGGUCUGAGAGGAUGAACGGCCACAUUGGGACUGAGACACGGCCCAGACUCCUACGGGAGGCAGCAGUGGGGAAUCUUCCGCAAUGGACGAAAGUCUGACGGAGCAACGCCGCGUGAGUGAUGACGGCCUUCGGGUUGUAAAGCUCUGUUAAUCGGGACGAAAGGCCUUCUUGCGAAUAGUUAGAAGGAUUGACGGUACCGGAAGAGAAAGCCACGGCUAACUACGUG